UGGGGAAUUUUGGACAAUGGGCGCAAGCCUGAUCCAGCAAUGCCGCGUGCAGGAUGAAGGCCUUCGGGUUGUAAACUGCUUUUGUACGGAACGAAAAGCCUCUCUCUAAUACAGGGGGGUGAUGACGGUACCGUAAGAAUAAGCACCGGCUAACUACGUGCCAGCAGCCGCGGUAAUACGUAGGGUGCAAGCGUUAAUCGGAAUUACUGGGCGUAAAGCGUGCGCAGGCGGUUUUGUAAGACAGUGGUGAAAUCCCCGGGCUCAACCUGGGAACUGCCAUUGUGACUGCAAGGCUGGAGUGCGGCAGAGGGGGAUGGAAUUCCGCGUGUAGCAGUGAAAUGCGUAGAUAUGCGGAGGAACACCGAUGGCGAAGGCAAUCCCCCUGGGCCUGCACUGACGCUCAUGCACGAAAGCGUGGGGAGCAAAACAGGAUUAGAUACCCUGGUAGUCCACGCCCUAAACGAUGUCAACUGGUUGUUGGGGAUUUAUUUCUUCAGUAACGAAGCUAA
This 509-nucleotide ribosomal RNA is filed under the name uncultured bacterium. RNAcentral describes it as "partial 16S ribosomal RNA". It matches the Rfam family "Bacterial small subunit ribosomal RNA", at positions 355 to 855 of the family's 1533-position model. The record is from RNAcentral.